GUGGUAGAAUAGGAAGAUGUGUGAAGCUCAUUCUUGCAUAUAACUAUUACUUGCCUCAGGACGGCAAAACAUUUUGGGCUAUAUUUCUGCUAAAAGUUGUAAGCACACUACUGAAAACCAUUCUUGAAGGGAAGCUGGCUUAAAAUAUUUUUUCAGUUGUGCCAUUAAUUAUGUAAGAACAUGAAGAAAUUUGAGAGCAGGUAGAACCUUGUGGUUCUAAAGCUUCUUCUUCCUGCGUACAGAAGGAAGUAACCUUACUGGUAAAGACGAGGUGAGAAAAUGUUACGUUUUGGUGUAAAACAUGCUUCCUGGUAGUACUUCUGCCGAAAUCAGAAUUAUGGAGUGGACCUGUGAUGUUCAUUAGUUAUGUAAACUCAUAACCCAAACUCAUAGUAUCUUGUGAGCCCGGCAAACUCGUUAACUUUGGGUUUUUUUUAGACUCACUGGUGCUUUUACUUAUAUUUAAAGAUGGUAAAUACAGAGAGAAUCGGAUAGUUCUUCCUUUGUUCUGCCUCGAUAACAGUUCUGUUGCCUUUUUGCCUAGGGAGUUAGAGAGUAGUCUUGGCCAUUUAACUUGUGUCUUCGGCAUGCCCAUGCAGUGCAACACAUUUUUGCCUCUUGGUUAUUAAGACCGGCCAUAAAAAUCCAUUUUAAAUGGUGACUUAAGAAAUGCAUCCUUGUCAAUAAACAUGAAUUUGUAGCCUUAGUCAUCUUUGAUGAUUAAAAUAUAUGGUUGCGUAACGUAAAAUGGUAUUAAUUAUUCAGUCUAAGUGCUCUAUUCUGAUAUUUUUUUGUACUCAUACACACAUUUUCUCUUCCUAGGUACCUUUUUAAUGCUGAAAUGGACACACUAAUUGUGAGCUGUGUGAGGAAGAACUAAGAAGUCAAGGUUAUUCAACAGAAAUGAAUGAAUACAGCCUGGAAAGGCGUUGAUCCACUGAGGUGACCUGCAGAUGAUUACCCUUCAGCAGAUAAUUACUCAGGAGCCUCUCUUAAAUCAAGAUCAAGCCUGCAAGCGGGCCCCCAUGCAGUAUGACAUGGCCAUCCUGUCUCCUGGCCUAGACAUGGAAGUCAUUCAAUGUGUAGGGGCUUCCUGGAUUUAUUGAAAUCACCCCUGGGAAGUUUACAGAACUGAUGCCAGACACUGCUGCAUGAGCUUUCUUCAGUUGUUUUUUAACACGUUUUGCUAACAGUUUAUCUCUCAGAUUGUGUAAUCUACGCUCUAUAAUUUGCCAUAAACCAUAAAACUCAUAAAAUUGGAAAAAAGAUUCUUAACUAAUUCUUAAUCUGUGGUUUGGCAGACAUACCUUGUGUUCAUUUCUGUCUGUACGAGAGACAGCACUACAGCUCUUAUCCUGACAGAUAAAGGUACAACCACAGUCGUCCC
This 1387-nucleotide long non-coding RNA is filed under the name Calidris pygmaea (Spoon-billed sandpiper). RNAcentral's name for it is "lncRNA (ENSCPGG00000004904.1)". Lineage: Eukaryota; Metazoa; Chordata; Aves; Charadriiformes; Scolopacidae. The record is from RNAcentral.